UACGUAGGGGGCAAGCGUUGUCCGGAUUUAUUGGGCGUAAAGCGCGUGUAGGCGGCUAGGUAGGUCCGUUGUGAAAACUCGAGGCUCAACCUCGAGACGCCGAUGGAAACCAUCUGGCUAGAGUCCGGAAGAGGAGAGUGGAAUUCCUGGUGUAGCGGUGAAAUGCGCAGAUAUCAGGAAGAACACCCGUGGCGAAGGCGGCUCGCUAGUACGGUACUGACGCUGAGACGCGAAAGCGUGGGGAGCAAACAGG
Molecule: ribosomal RNA, 253 nt
Filed under: uncultured bacterium
Lineage: Bacteria
Description: partial 16S ribosomal RNA
Rfam family: Bacterial small subunit ribosomal RNA
Source: RNAcentral